Non-coding RNA from Acanthosepion pharaonis, 86 nucleotides. Lineage: Eukaryota; Metazoa; Mollusca; Cephalopoda; Sepiida; Sepiidae. The record is from the annotation of a GenBank genome assembly.
GUUCCCGUACGAUCACUGAAGUUAAGCAACGUCAAGCCUGGUCUGUACCUAGAUGGGUGACCGCUUGAGAAUACCAGUUGCUGUAA